Molecule: long non-coding RNA, 88 nt
Organism: Thalassophryne amazonica
Lineage: Eukaryota; Metazoa; Chordata; Actinopteri; Batrachoidiformes; Batrachoididae
Exons: 3
Source: RefSeq, a predicted model, not a curated record
CACUAUGAGUUUUUCUUAAUGCUUGACUGCUUAAUGGAACCAGAGUUCACUUCAUUUGUUUCAGUCCAACAUCAAUAAGUUUUACUGU